GGUUAUGGCUCAGUGGUAGAGCACUCGCCUAGCAUGUGCGAGGCUCUGAGUUCGAUCCUCAGCACCA
RNAcentral lists this transfer RNA (67 nucleotides) under Marmota monax (woodchuck). RNAcentral describes it as "tRNA.Ala". It matches the Rfam family "tRNA". Rfam says of the family: Transfer RNA (tRNA) molecules are approximately 80 nucleotides in length. Their secondary structure includes four short double-helical elements and three loops (D, anti-codon, and T loops). Further hydrogen bonds mediate the characteristic L-shaped molecular structure. tRNAs have two regions of fundamental functional importance: the anti-codon, which is responsible for specific mRNA codon recognition, and the 3' end, to which the tRNAs corresponding amino acid is attached (by aminoacyl-tRNA synthetases). tRNAs cope with the degeneracy of the genetic code in two manners: having more than one tRNA (with a specific anti-codon) for a particular amino acid; and 'wobble' base-pairing, i.e. permitting non-standard base-pairing at the 3rd anti-codon position. Lineage: Eukaryota; Metazoa; Chordata; Mammalia; Rodentia; Sciuridae. The record is from RNAcentral.